CUGCCAGUGAUAAACUGGAGGAAGUGGGGAUGACGUCAAGUCAUCAUGGCCCUUACGGCCAGGGCUACACACGUGCUACAAUGGCGCAUACAAAGAGAAGCGACCUCGCGAGAGCAAGCGGACCUCAUAAAGUGCGUCGUAGUCCGGAUUGGAGUCUGCAACUCGACUCCAUGAAGUCGGAAUCGCUAGUAAUCGUGGAUCAGAAUGCCACGGUGAAUACGUUCCCGGGCCUU
RNAcentral lists this ribosomal RNA (233 nucleotides) under uncultured Enterobacteriaceae bacterium. Its description in RNAcentral is "partial 16S ribosomal RNA". It matches the Rfam family "Bacterial small subunit ribosomal RNA", at positions 1149 to 1382 of the family's 1533-position model. The record is from RNAcentral. Lineage: Bacteria; Pseudomonadati; Pseudomonadota; Gammaproteobacteria; Enterobacterales; Enterobacteriaceae.